Molecule: ribosomal RNA, 465 nt
Filed under: uncultured bacterium
Lineage: Bacteria
Description: partial 16S ribosomal RNA
Rfam family: Bacterial small subunit ribosomal RNA
Source: RNAcentral
CUACGGGGCGCUGCAGUGGGGAAUAUUGGACAAUGGGGGCAGCCCUGAUCCAGCCAUGCCGCGUGUGUGAAGAAGGCCUUUUGGUUGUAAAGCACUUUAAGCGAGGAGGAGGCUACUGGUACUAAUAUUACCAGCUAGUGGACGUUACUCGCAGAAUAAGCACCGGCUAACUCUGUGCCAGCAGCCGCGGUAAUACAGAGGGUGCGAGCGUUAAUCGGAAUUACUGGGCGUAAAGCGCGCGUAGGCGGUUUGUUAAGUCGGAUGUGAAAUCCCCGGGCUCAACCUGGGAAUUGCAUUCGAUACUGGCAAGCUAGAGUAUGGGAGAGGAAGGUAGAAUUCCAGGUGUAGCGGUGAAAUGCGUAGAGAUCUGGAGGAAUACCGAUGGCGAAGGCAGCCUUCUGGCCUAAUACUGACGCUGAGGUGCGAAAGCAUGGGGAGCAAACAGGAUUAGAUACCCUAGUAGUC